Molecule: ribosomal RNA, 554 nt
Filed under: Hanseniaspora uvarum
Lineage: Eukaryota; Fungi; Ascomycota; Saccharomycetes; Saccharomycodales; Saccharomycodaceae
Description: partial large subunit ribosomal RNA
Rfam family: Eukaryotic large subunit ribosomal RNA
Source: RNAcentral
AGUACGGCGAGUGAGCGGUAAAAGCUCAAAUUUGAAAUCUGGUACUUUCAGUGCCCGAGUUGUAAUUUGUAGAAUUUGUCUUUGAUUAGGUCCUUGUCUAUGUUCCUUGGAACAGGACGUCAUAGAGGGUGAGAAUCCCGUUUGGCGAGGAUACCUUUUCUCUGUAAGACUUUUUCGAAGAGUCGAGUUGUUUGGGAAUGCAGCUCAAAGUGGGUGGUAAAUUCCAUCUAAAGCUAAAUAUUGGCGAGAGACCGAUAGCGAACAAGUACAGUGAUGGAAAGAUGAAAAGAACUUUGAAAAGAGAGUGAAAAAGUACGUGAAAUUGUUGAAAGGGAAGGGCAUUUGAUCAGACAUGGUGUUUUUUGCAUGCACUCGCCUCUCGUGGGCUUGGGCCUCUCAAAAAUUUCACUGGGCCAACAUCAAUUCUGGCAGCAGGAUAAAUCAUUAAGAAUGUAGCUACUUCGGUAGUGUUAUAGCUUUUUGGAAUACUGUUAGCCGGGAUUGAGGACUGCGCUUCGGCAAGGAUGUUGGCAUAAUGGUUAAAUGCCGCCCGU